Molecule: ribosomal RNA, 354 nt
Filed under: Corixidea sp. UCR ENT 00096829
Lineage: Eukaryota; Metazoa; Arthropoda; Insecta; Hemiptera; Schizopteridae
Description: partial large subunit ribosomal RNA
Rfam family: Bacterial large subunit ribosomal RNA (bases 127-287)
Source: RNAcentral
AUUAUAUACAAGCUUAGAUUUUAUUGGGGUGAUAAAAAUUUUUAUUUAACAAUUAUUUUAUUUGUCAGUGAUGUUUGAUUAAUUUUGAUCCAAUAAUUUUUGAUUAUUAGUUUAAGUUACUUUAGGGAUAACAGCGUAAUUUAAUUGGAGAGUUCUUAUUGAUAAUUUAAGUUUGCGACCUCGAUGUUGAAUUAAGAUAUGAUUUAGGAGUAGUUCUUUAUAUUUUUUGGUCUGUUCGACCAGUUUUUUCUUACAUGAUUUGAGUUUAGAUCGGCGUGAGCCAGAUUGGUUUCUAUCCUUAAUAUAUUUUAUUAUUUUUUAGUACGAGAGGACCAAAAAUUUAAUUAAUAUUUU